AUUUUGUUGAUAAAGUGUCAAAUUAGGGUCUGUGCUUGCAGACUACAUCGUACUAGUGCACGUUGACGCUCGAUCCCGAUCAGCUGUAUCGUAUCGUCAUUCGGCGAUUAUGCAUGAUGAUGUAAACUUGGCCGCUUCCACCACGUUGAAAACACCACCAUUCGAUGACGCUUACUCCAAAAAUUUCGGUUAUGUGUAUACAAAACAGGCAGCAGAAACGAUAAAGGAACAGCAUGAAUUGGAUAAAAACACUGCGCUUUGUUUCCCUGAAAACGUUCAUACAGUAACUAUCGAUAGAUGCAAGCAUAUAAUCUUAUGGGAGGAAGCACAACCUAGCCACGGUGGAAAGAUUAAGUAUGAUGGCAUAUCAUUCAUCCACCUCAACAAGAACAUGUAUGAGUGUGAAUAUGCCAAAGAUCACAAGUUGAAAUCCAAGGUGAAAGCUAAGGAAGCAAGAGCUGAAAAGAGGAUGAGAGAACCAGCUAUUGGAAAUGCAUACAAGCCCAGGAACCUUAUAUACAAGAUACUAAAAAGAAAGAUUGCCAGGCAAAGCUAGUCAUGAAGGAAAUCAUGAAAUUUCCAAAUUUUAAGGAGGGGGGUUCGCGUGAACCCUGCGAACCCCUAGUUUGUACAGCCAUGAUGAUGGAGGUACAUGUUGCAGGCUGGACUUUGACUAGCAGAUCAGAGGUCAAUGGAAGACUAUCGUUACCCCCGUCUUCAUCGUGUAGUGCUUCAUCAGAAGAGCCUGGGCAUUAGAUCACACUUCUGUAGGUAGAGCGGCUCAUUUCACCACCAAACAACUGACAAGACAACAAUGACCCGAAAAAAGAAGAGCGCCAGCCGACUUAUCCCAGCUAGUUCAGCUCAUCUCACAAGCAGUCAUCUAGCACUGUGAAGACAGCACUGAGAUAGUUCUCACCACCUGAUGCAGAAAAGGCACAUUGACCAAAGCAGACCAAAGCAAACAUGACAGAUAGCAGAGAAAGAGAAGCAAGUGUCGAACCUGAUGCCUGGGUCUUCAUAAUUCAAGUGUCAUACAGCUUUCAAGAGAGAGGUCAGUGAUUCCAAACAAAGGCUUCUUUCUACAUCAUCGUCACAUGGAUCACACUGUGGAAGAGACAACCUUGAAAACCAGAACAAGAAGGAGAAUAUGAGAUCAUGUUUCUGGAUCUCUGAAAAGAGGUCAGCUUUGUAUGAAGGAUUCCAGGAGGAUUUAUUCUAUUUGAACCCUUUUGGUAUGAUACCUUUCAACCUUAACAGUAGAGAAGAUGGAGUCUGGAUAUAGAUGCAUUGGCUCUGCUUCAUCACAUGCAUGGUGAGACUUUAAUUACACAGUAUAUGUGAGUUCUAACUGAGGAAAGAAAAGGACAGGCAAGGCCAUAAUGACCCCAUAAUCACUGUGUCUCUUUGAGGUAGGUUUCUGCAUUAGAAAAUAGUUGAAACAACUUUGCCAUACAAUACUUUCAUCAUACCCAAUACUGGUAAUGAACAUGGUAAUGGUAUUUAUGGUUGAAAUGUAUAAUAUCUGUUUGGUAAUCCAUUUUAUAUACAUCCACGUGUCCUCAUAAUGUUCAAUUAGAUAGAAGGUAUAGAACUUGCGGUUAUUGUUCAAAGAAAAGUUUGCUGCUAAAGAACUAAAGUGAUAGAAGCCGGAAAAACAAUGAUGCCCUUGAAGAUGUGAAAUGUUUAUGACCAUUUCGUUGUUCACAACUGCAUGCUACUUGGCAUUUUUAAUCAAUAAGAUGUCCUGUAAUAAAAAGCUAAUUACAGCUUACAUCUAACAAGUUUUGAAUUUGUAAGUUCAUGAUAGCUUAACCCACUUCAUGAAAACAAAUUGUAAUUUUGUUAACCCUGUAUGAUUGUACUUACAGUGUUGUGUGCAGUACAUUAAGACAUGGCGUCUUCUGCCAUCUCGUGAGCAUUGAUGGCCUCUGAGUGUCAUCGCUUGGCAUCUGAUAGGCCGCAUUCUAAUUAACACUUCUAUUCUGGUAUGAAGAAGAUAAAAUAUAUAUGUAAAAUGCUAAUGUACAUGCUAUCAGUGACUAAAAGUAACAACUUCUGAAAUCAUCUUAGUAAUAUGUUCAGUAAAAUGAUAAGACUAAAAAGUAAUUUCAAAAUGCAAUAAGUUAUUGAACAUGUAAGACUUUUCCAAAGAUCAUAUUGUAUCAUUUGUAUAUAUAUUCACAUGGGCUGUAUAGAACCGAUAUCUAUUAUCUUUGAUUGAAUACUUAUAAAAUGGGGUGCUAGUUAUUUGUAUGGAAUGAAUGUAUUUUGUAAUCAAGGUGCAUCAUUUGUCCAUGUUCUUUGCCAUCUUAUUAUAUGAACUGUAAUAAGAACUAAAUUUAUAUUUUACUCUUCCAAUCUAUGAUGGGACUAGAUGCUUCGUCUUGCCGUAUUGCAAGCAGCAUUGUGAGUACAAUCAUACAGAGUUAACACAAAUAUGUAUACAUGGUGUGAUAGUUACCAAUGGACGUGAUAAAAACUUGAUGUUGAAUGUAGUGGAUAAUGAUGAUGAUAAUAACAAUAAUGAUAUUAAUAACCAUUAUAAUAACACAAGACAUUAUUGAUAGCUGUAUACACCUCUCUCUGUAUACAUGUACGAUAUUUUUGAUGCAUAACUACAUCUAUGUUUCAUUGUUUUUGUUUUUGUUUUCUGUCAACUCAAAAUUAUUUUA
Long non-coding RNA from Strongylocentrotus purpuratus (purple sea urchin), 2675 nucleotides. RefSeq lists it as uncharacterized. Lineage: Eukaryota; Metazoa; Echinodermata; Echinoidea; Camarodonta; Strongylocentrotidae. The transcript is spliced from 7 exons. The record is from RefSeq and is a predicted model, not a curated record.